GAACUUUCCAGAGAUGGAUUGGUGCCUUCGGGAACUGUGAGACAGGUGCUGCAUGGCUGUCGUCAGCUCGUGUUGUGAAAUGUUGGGUUAAGUCCCGCAACGAGCGCAACCCUUAUCCUUUGUUGCCAGCGGUCCGGCCGGGAACUCAAAGGAGACUGCCAGUGAUAAACUGGAGGAAGGUGGGGAUGACGUCAAGUCAUCAUGGCCCUUACGACCAGGGCUACACACGUGCUACAAUGGCGCAUACAAAGAGAAGCGACCUCGCGAGAGCAAGCGGACCUCAUAAAGUGCGUCGUAGUCCGGAUUGGAGUCUGCAACUCGACUCCAUGAAGUCGGAAUCGCUAGUAAUCGUGGAUCAGAAUGCCACGGUGAAUACGUUCCCGGGCCUUGUACACACCGCCCGUCACACCAUGGGAGUGGGUUGCAAAAGAAGUAGGUAGCUUAACCUUCGGGAGGGCGCUUACCACUUUGUGAUUCAU
RNAcentral lists this ribosomal RNA (479 nucleotides) under Escherichia coli. Its description in RNAcentral is "bacterial SSU rRNA". It matches the Rfam family "Bacterial small subunit ribosomal RNA", at positions 993 to 1472 of the family's 1533-position model. Lineage: Bacteria; Pseudomonadati; Pseudomonadota; Gammaproteobacteria; Enterobacterales; Enterobacteriaceae. The record is from RNAcentral.